RNAcentral lists this ribosomal RNA (119 nucleotides) under Triticum aestivum (bread wheat). Lineage: Eukaryota; Viridiplantae; Streptophyta; Magnoliopsida; Poales; Poaceae. The record is from RNAcentral.
GGAUGCGAUCAUACCAUCACUAAAGCACCGGAUCCCAUUAGAACUCCGAAGUUAAGCGUGCUUGGGCGAGAGUAGUACUAGGAUGGGUGACCUCCUGGGAAGUCCUCGUGUUGCAUUCC